AGAGUUUGAUCAUGGCUCAGAAUCAACGCUGGCGGCGUGCCUAAUACAUGCAAGUCGAACGCGAAAGUGGAGCAAUCCAUGAGUAGAGUGGCAAACGGGUGAGUAACGCGUGGGUGACCUGCCUUCGAGCGGGGGAUAACGUUCCGAAAGGGACGCUAAUACCGCAUAACAUCCUGCUUUUGAACAAGCGGAGAUCAAAGCUGGGGAUCGCAAGACCUAGCACUCGAAGAGGGGCCCGCGUCCGAUUAGCUAGUUGGUGAGGUAACGGCCCACCAAGGCAACGAUCGGUAGCCGGCCUGAGAGGGCGGACGGCCACACUGGGACUGAGACACGGCCCAGACUCCUACGGGAGGCAGCAGUAGGGAAUUGUUCGCAAUGGGCGCAAGCCUGACGACGCAACGCCGCGUGGAGGAUGAAGAUUUUCGGAUCGUAAACUCCUUUCGAUCGAGACGAAUAGCUUCCGGGUGAACAAUCCGGAAGAAUGACGGUACCGAGAGAAGAAGCCCCGGCUAACUCCGUGCCAGCAGCCGCGGUAAUACGGGGGGGGCAAGCGUUGUUCGGAAUUACUGGGCGUAAAGGGCUCGUAGGCUGCCAACUAAGUCAGACGUGAAAUCCCUCGGCUUAACCGGGGAACUGCGUCUGAUACUGGAUGGCUUGAGUGUGGGAGAGGGAUGCGGAAUUCCAGGUGUAGCGGUGAAAUGCGUAGAUAUCUGGAGGAACACCGGUGGCGAAGGCGGCAUCCUGGACCAUUACUGACGCUGAGUGAGCGAAAGCCAGGGGAGCGAACGGGAUUAGAUACCCCCGUAGUCC
Molecule: ribosomal RNA, 810 nt
Filed under: uncultured bacterium
Lineage: Bacteria
Description: bacterial SSU rRNA
Rfam family: Bacterial small subunit ribosomal RNA
Source: RNAcentral